This is a long non-coding RNA of Passer domesticus (house sparrow), 2981 nucleotides long. RefSeq lists it as uncharacterized. NCBI's taxonomy places the organism in Eukaryota, Metazoa, Chordata, Aves, Passeriformes, Passeridae. The record is from RefSeq and is a predicted model, not a curated record. The transcript has 2 exons.
ACCCAAAAAAACUCAAAACCAACCAAACAAAAACAACAAAAAAAAUCCCACAAACUCUAAGAGUGAAGAACUGCUGAAAACCUGCAAUCUGUCAGAUAAGCAAAACAGGUCUUAGGUGCUAAAUCAAGUCUCAGAAAAACACCCGGUUUAUUUCUGAGGGUCGAGAGAGGAACAAAGGUAAUGGGAAAAUGGCUAAAAUUCAGAUUUCAGAGAGUCAAGAAGGGUUCUCUGACAGGAACCUGAAUUGUGCAAAACCACGUCACGUGUCCCCAGGAACCUGUAAAUCCAGGAGUUCCCACUGCUGUGUCACUUAGGGUCAAUUACUCACCAUUUUCAGGCCGUGCAAGCUCUGGUUGUGGUUAAUAGCUGAUAACCAUGUGGGUUAUCAGCUGCUGGGUCCAAGACAGGCCCUGGAGAUCAGGACCUGCUGCUUUUCCCUGCCCUUGGGUUGGAGUUUGGGGUUUUCAGUGGGAUCUUUGCUGUAAUGGACCUUAAUGACUGCUCUGGGACUGACACUGGGGAUGUGAAUCAGCAGAGACUCAGCUCUGCAAGUGGCCGCUCUUUAAUCUGCACAGAAAGCACCAUCCAUGCCCCGUGAGAUGAAGCCACAUCUCAGCAAACUGCAGAGAACACCAGAGCAGGGCUGACCAGUGAACAAACAGAGCCUGGGCACGUGAGAGAGCUCCUGAGUGUCAGCUGAGCCCCAGGAGCUGACCUUGUCUGCUCUGGCUCCUGUUGGGGUUAGAUGAAAGGGGUUUAGGCUAAUCUUGCCUGCCUGAGAGCUGGGACAAGUCCCAGCCCACAGCUCAUUCCUGCAGCUAAGCCAGCACAGGGUGGUUUGUUCCAUCACAGCACCAAGGGGCCGAGCCAGAGCUGCCCCAGGUCUGCCUCAGAGCCAAAAAGAAGGCAUGACCUGCUGCAUGGGCUGUGAGGAAAGGGCUGGGAGAGAGCCACCACCACCCUGACACACAGAGGUGAGCAAGGACACCACCAGGGAAAGAGGCAAAACAGAGACCCAGCUUGUGUCCUGCCUCCAAGCCUGCAGAACAAAUUUAGGCAUUUGUUAAAUCGUUGUGACUGAAACAAAUCCCAUGACUGAACAUCAUCUCGUGGAAGGAGCUGGAACACCAGCUCGUGUGGGACUGUGUUCUCUACACAAAUACAUUCAGCCACACACAGUACAAAUCGUGUAUCUCCCCAGCUGCCUGAUGGUGAGAGCAAAUGCAGAUGUUAGAAACAGCUGUGCCUGCCUGAAAAGACUGCAACUUUCCCCCCAUCAUCUCUUUAUUUACUAGAGCAGGCUCGCUAAUCCCAGAAUUUAUAAAAUGCCUCCACAUGGGAAGGCUGUGUUUGCCGGGGAGGAGCAAGAACGAGCGCUCCCCCCAAAAACUCGCGGGUGCUUUAAAGGCUGAACACGAGAUGGCGCCAAGUCCUUGCAGCAGCACCACCGAAAUUUGGAUCAUUCCACCUGUCUCAGGUGGAAUUCCAGCCACAGCAAGCAACCGCAUUAAUGGCUUGCUUAAAUGCUUUUUAAAAUGCUGAACGAAAGGCGCAACACGCUCCUGAAAGGCUUUUUUUUAAGGACUGCAUGUAUGAAUGAACGCUUCUGGAAUAAAAAGAGAAGAUUGGGGAAAAAAACCCCAAACUGCUCAACUAGUUGUCUCUGGCAAAACCAUCUACAUAUUAAGGAUUUUUUUUAGCUGCAUCAUAUCUGUCCUAGUAAGAAGACCUCUAUUGUGUUCUGCUAAAUGAUGACAGAGGAGAAAAAAAAAAAGUUCUGUUUUUGUAACAAGUAGCUGUAGCUAAUGUGCAAAAUCUCAAUAUUCUAUUUUCUAAAUACAGAAUUUCUACUUUUAUGCAGGGGGAAAAUAUCUUUAUUCAAGCUCUCAACUUGAGUGUUUUGAAGUCAUUCUACCAAAUAAAAUAAACUACAGGCAUACCUUAACUACUUAAAAAAAGAAAGUUUUCAAAGGGUAAGAGAAGGCUGUGCCAGAGGAAAUUGGUGACAUGACUGGCCACAAAUCGCAGCUAAAGAUAAAGCAGGCUACACUUUCUGGUGAGACAUAAUGGAUUAGCUGCAUGGAGGCCAUGGGGAAGGAUUCUCCAACACCUUAUUUCCUGUCUGAAGCUGAUUUAUCCCCAUUUGCAGGAAAGGAAAUCCCUGAACGUUCCAGUGGGUAAUUUAAAAAAAAAAAAAUAAAAGAGGUUACCAAGUAUUGCAGUUUUCACUGUCCUGAAUCAUAAUGUUUAUUUGUUGUCUUAAUGCUGAUGCAGCCUAUGAGCACUGUGAUUUGGGGAAGCAGUGAAACCAUACUGUGACUAAAAUUUGUAGUCUUGGAGAAAAGCCUUCAUAAAGAAGGAUGUGAAAUCUUGUGAGAAUUCUUGAGCAAAUUGAUACUAAAAUAUCCAAGUGGUUGGGACUGAAUUCAGACUACUUUAGCUGCAACUAAUUUACUCCCCUUCAUAAACAGGAAAAUUACAGCUUCAUAAAAACCUUUCAGCAAAUAUAACAGCAAUUUGGAACAUACUGCAAAGUGAUGUAUCAAAAGAUGAUUUUUUAUUUCCUGCCUUAGAACCACGAGUUUCUAUCCAGGGAGCACAGCCAUUUGGAGCCUGCAUCUCAGAGGCUGUUUUGGCCCUCACCCUUCAGGGACUAUGAUCCAUUUUGCCACUUUUCUGCACAACCCAGUAACAGGGCAAGCAGCACAAGGAAAGAGCCCCUGGAUGCAUCAGCCUAAGCACCAUCCAGGCACACUUGCAGGAUCAGGAAUCUGGCCUGAACUGAAACUCAGCAUUGCCAAAAAUGUGACUGCGACACCGAGGAAGAGAAACUUGGUCAGGUCUGUUCAGUAAGUUUUAAGAACAUAAGAACAAACCUUGGUGAUUAAAUCUCAUUAGGACAAACUGUGAGAUCUCACAGAUAACUGUUUUUUUGAGAUGGAAGCAAUGAAGAUGAUUAGUAAACCCAUGUCCAGCAGUGC